This 776-nucleotide ribosomal RNA is filed under the name uncultured Neocallimastigales. RNAcentral's name for it is "partial large subunit ribosomal RNA". It matches the Rfam family "Eukaryotic large subunit ribosomal RNA", at positions 24 to 614 of the family's 3401-position model. The record is from RNAcentral. Lineage: Eukaryota; Fungi; Neocallimastigomycota; Neocallimastigomycetes; Neocallimastigales.
UAUCUCUGUAGAGUCUGCAUAUCAAUAAGCGGAGGAAAAGAAACUAACUAGGAUUCCCUCAGUAACGGCGAGUGAAGCGGGAAGAGCUCAAAUUUGAAAUCUUCAAGGUUCUACCUUGACGAAUUGUAGUUUAAAGAAGUGUUUUCUGUUGGAGUUUUGGUAAAAGUUCUUUGGAAUAGGACAUCAUAGAGGGUGAGAAUCCCGUAUUUGACCAUUAUUUCCAGCUUUGUGAUACACUUUCAAAGAGUCGGAUUGUUUGGGAAUGCAGUCCAAAAUGGGUGGUAAAUUUCAUCUAAAGCUAAAUAUUGGCGAGAGACCGAUAGCGAACAAGUACCGUGAGGGAAAGAUGAAAAGAACUUUGAAAAGAGAGUUAAACAGUACGUGAAAUUGUCAAAAGGGAAGCGUUUGACACCAGUGUUGUUUUCUCGAAAAUCAAUUAAAAAUGCAUGAUUUUGUGUUGUAUUGACCUUUAUCAAGCUUUCUGCACUCUUUUCAUUGUCUUUUUUAAUGCACUUUUCGUUUAACAAGUCAACAUCAGUUUCUUUUGUUGUAAAAGGGUCAUUGGAAGGUGGCUUUCUUUUCGGAGAAAGUGUUUAUAGCCUUUGGCCUCUGCAAUCGGAGAGAUUGAGGUCUGCAGCGUAGAUCCUUCGGGGUUAGAUACAUUUGUGCUAAGUUAUAGCCUUUCAUAGACAACUUGUUGACUAUGAUCAGUCAUGUAGCUUACUCGCUUAUGCUAUUUUACCUACGCUUAGGAUGUUGAGUCAUCACACAUCUCU